This 700-nucleotide ribosomal RNA is filed under the name uncultured bacterium. RNAcentral describes it as "bacterial SSU rRNA". It matches the Rfam family "Bacterial small subunit ribosomal RNA", at positions 94 to 788 of the family's 1533-position model. The record is from RNAcentral.
AGCGGCGGACGGGUGAGUAAUACAUCGAGACGUACCUUGUAGUGGGGGAUAACUCAUCGAAAGAUGGGCUAAUACCGCAUGAGCUCUGAGGAGGAAAGGUGGGGCCCAGAAAUGGCCUGUUGCUAUAAGAGCGGUCGAUGGUCGAUUAGCUAGUUGGUUGGGUAAAGGCUGACCAAGGCGAUGAUCGAUAGCUGUUCUGAGAGGAAGAUCAGCCACACUGGGACUGAGACACGGCCCAGACUCCUACGGGAGGCAGCAGUGGGGAAUAUUGGACAAUGGGGGCAACCCUGAUCCAGCAACGCCGCGUGAAUGAAGAAGGCCUUAGGGUUGUAAAGUUCUUUUGUCCGAGAGCAAAUCGUGUGGGGUAAUAUAUCACAUGGAUGAGAGUAUCGGAAGAAUAAGCACCGGCUAACUACGUGCCAGCAGCCGCGGUAAUACGUAGGGUGCGAGCGUUAAUCGGAAUUACUGGGCGUAAAGAGUGCGUAGGCGGAGAUACAAGUUAGAUGUGAAAUCCCCGAGCUUAACUUGGGAAUUGCAUUUAAGACUGUAUGUCUAGAGUUAGUAAGAGGAUGGGAGAAUUCCGAGUGUAGCAGUGAAAUGCGUAGAGAUUCGGAGGAAUAUCGGUGGCGAAGGCGCCCAUCUGGGAUAUAACUGACGCUGAGGCACGAAAGCGUGGGGAGCAAACAGGAUUAGAUACCCU